GACGAACGCUGGCGGCGUGCUUAACACAUGCAAGUCGAACGGAAAGGCCCUGCUUUUGUGGGUUGCUCGAGUGGCGAACGGGUGAGUAACACGUGAGUAACCUGCCCUUGACUUUGGGAUAACUUCAGGAAACUGGGGCUAAUAUCGGAUAGGAGCUCCUGCUGCAUGGUGGGGGUUGGAAAGUUUCGGCGGUUGGGGAUGGACUCGCGGCUUAUCAGCUUGUUGGUGGGGUAGUGGCUUACCAAGGCUUUGACGGGUAGCCGGCCUGAGAGGGUGACCGGCCACAUUGGGACUGAGAUACGGCCCAGACUCCUACGGGAGGCAGCAGUGGGGAAUAUUGCACAAUGGGCGGAAGCCUGAUGCAGCAACGCCGCGUGCGGGAUGACGGCCUUCGGGUUGUAAACCGCUUUCGCCUGUGACGAAGCGUGAGUGACGGUAAUGGGUAAAGAAGCACCGGCUAACUACGUG
RNAcentral lists this ribosomal RNA (468 nucleotides) under uncultured bacterium. Its description in RNAcentral is "partial 16S ribosomal RNA". It matches the Rfam family "Bacterial small subunit ribosomal RNA", at positions 28 to 507 of the family's 1533-position model. The record is from RNAcentral.